Molecule: small RNA, 286 nt
Rfam family: 5' ureB small RNA
UCCUCGAUCUGCUGCGGGCAGAUCCAGUGGAUGUGGCUGUCGAUGCCGCCCGCGGUGAGGAUCAUGCCCUCGCCGGCGAUCACCUCGGUGCCGGCGCCGAUCGGGAUCGUCACCCCGGGCUGGAUGUCGGGGUUGCCGCCCUUGCCGAUCCUCCAGAUGCGGCCGUCCUUGAGACCCACGUCGGCCUUCACGAUGCCCGCCACCGCGUCGAUGACCAGCGCGUUGGUGACGAUGGUGUCCGCCACGUCGGCGGCCACGCCCUGGCCCUGGCCCAUGCCGUCGCGGA